UGAACCAGACAGCAAGGGAAUAGCUCCUUCACUCCUCCUGGAGGUAAUGUGUCUAGCUUAUCCUUCAAGGAUAAGCUAAUAGGUGAAAUACCUAGAGCUUAUAUCCUGGCAUUUUGAUUUCUCUGAAUAUAUUGAAAAUGAGAUGGAAUCGGAGUCAUCAGUUGAGGUUAUCCGAGAAGGUUUUGCUGUUGUCAACCUCUCUAGAGAAACUAAACAACGUAUACGAGCUCUAUGGACAAAUGCACUUAUCAUCAAGGUGUUUGGAAAAACUGUGGGGUUUAACUACCUUCAGUCUAAGCUACAUACUUUGUGGAAGCCCAUAGGGAGGACUGACUAUGUAGAUCUGGAAUGCGACUUCUUCCUCGUUUGGUUUUCUUGUAAAGAAGACCAUGAUACAGUUUUGAAGAAAGGCCCCUGGUUUAUAAGGGAGCACUUUCUAUCCAUAAGACCAUGGGUCCCUAAUUUCAGGCCAGAUACUGCUAAUAUAGCUUCAGUAACUGUUUGGGUGAGGCUUCCCAAACUUCCUAUUGAAUAUUAUAAUGCAGAAGCUCUCAAGGAAAUAGAACAAGCUAUCGGCAUAGUCCUUCGCAUCAACACUCACACAACGUCGGAGACCAGAGGUCGUUACGCCAGACUUUGUGUUCAAGUCGAUGUCAACAAACCGUUAGUCUAUACCAUUCUGAUCGGCGGUUUACAUCAAGCUGUGGUUUACAAAGGAAUUAGCAAUCUUUGUUUCUCAUGUGGCCGACUUGGUCACCGCCGGGAGGCCUACCACUAGAUGAUUCAAACCCCAACGGUUGACAGGUUAGAAAAUAUCGUACCUUCAAGCAAGGACGAUGAGAAUGUGUAGGAUGACAGUACAAAUAGUACAGAUAAUGGACACGCAUCAGCAAAUGGAGGCCAAUCCUCAGCAGGACAAUAGGAAACUAACGGUUAUGACCCUUGGCUUGUAGUGACACGCAAAAAGCAAGGGACGAGGUACAAUAAGAGGAGUAGUGGGGACAACUCGCCCAACACAGCACCAAAUGAGUCUAGAAACACGAAAGAGUUUAAAAAUCCUCAUCAAAAAACCAUUGUGGGCCUCACCAAUGAAGGUAAAUGGAAAUCUAGUGGAAGCUUCAAGUUUUCUAGUGAAUCCAGCAAGAUAAUGGGCAAUCAUAGUGGAGGGCAGCAUCUUCAAGAUUCUAGAUUUUGUGAUAGUAGAGAUGGGAUUAUUUAAUCCGAUCCAAGCAAAAACAGUGUCCGAUCCGGCAUGGCAAUUGAAGGAACAAUCAUGGUGGGUGUUCAAGUCAGACAGCCAAGAAAGAUUGGAGAUUAGAGUAGUAGCAUGCAAAAAGUUGUUGCAACCAUUUCCAACACCAAUCUCAUGCAAAUUUGACCUUAGGCCUCAAUCGAUGGAGAGAAGGCUACUACAAGUUAACUCGAUCUCAACUCUAAUGAUGGGGAAUGCCAAUAUCACGAAGCCGAUUUAGAUGGUUCACCCCACAUUAGGAGUGUUUUAGCAUUGUGUAACUCUGAUGCCAGGGAGAGGAUACCCCAAGGAGAUGAUGCAAUUGAUCGGAUGGAAUUAGAGGGAGGAGGCGAGGCUUCUGCUACCCAUUGAUGUCUGUCCUUCUUUUGUUCAAUCAAUAAUGAUGAAUAUCAUUAUUUGGAACUGUCGGGGGGCCCUGAAGCCUUCCUUUCAAUCCAAUGUUCGUGAUCUGAUUUCUAUCCACGACCUAGCUAUCCUAAUUGUUAUAGAGACUCACCUUGGCAAGGAUAAAAGCGAAGGAAAUCAUAGAUAGGCUUCCAUUUUAAGGAGCGAUUCACACUGACACAAUUGGCUUCGCGGGUGGCCUCUGGUUUCUUUGGGAUCCUGACAGAGUUGAUAUCACAAAUCUUACUAGCACGGAGCAGGAAAUCCACGCACUUGUGAAGGUCCCGCAAAAACGUUGCCUUACUCGCAGCUAUAGGAUGUGGCUUUUGGUGGGAAUUUGGUUGGAAGCUUGAGCAUUUAAGAGAGGAAUGGUUAAAGUUUGUUGAAUGUAUAAAGUUGGUCAAAAAUGCCUCAAACCUGGACUAUUGGACACGAUAUCCUAAACUGAGGGAGUGUGACUUUUUCUUUAAGGUCAAAAGGGGCCAUAGCUUAAAUUAAUUCUUAACUGUUAUUUGUACAUGUCGAUCGCUCCGCAUGGCAAAUUAUGAUAAAAAUUGUAAUAUUUUUUGUGGUA
Molecule: long non-coding RNA, 2210 nt
Organism: Quercus robur (English oak)
Lineage: Eukaryota; Viridiplantae; Streptophyta; Magnoliopsida; Fagales; Fagaceae
Exons: 2
Source: RefSeq, a predicted model, not a curated record